AUUGAACGCUGGCGGCAUGCUUUACACAUGCAAGUCGAACGGCAGCGCGGGCUUCGGCCUGGCGGCUAGUGGCGAACGCGUGUGUAAUGCAUCUGAACGUGCCCCGUUGUGGGGGAUAGCCCGGCGAAAGCCGGAUUAAUAAUGCAUACGACCUGCGGGUGAAACCGGGGGACCGAAAGGCCUCUCGCUCUUGUAGCGGCCGAUGCGGGGGUAGCUAGCUGGUGGGUUAAAGGCUUACUUAGGCGACGAUCCGUAGCUGGACUGAGAGGGCGACCGGCCACACUGGGACUGGGACACGGCCCAGGCUCCUGAGAGAGGCAGCAGUGGGGAAUUGUGGACAAUGGGGGCAACCCUGAUCCAGCCAUGCGGCGUGCGAGAAGAAGGCCUUCGGGUUGUAAACCGCUUUUGUUCGGGAAGAAAUCCUCUGGGCUAAUACCCCGGGGGGAUGACGGUACCGGAUGAAUAAGCACCGGCUAACUACGUG
This 484-nucleotide ribosomal RNA is filed under the name uncultured bacterium. Its description in RNAcentral is "partial 16S ribosomal RNA". It matches the Rfam family "Bacterial small subunit ribosomal RNA", at positions 28 to 507 of the family's 1533-position model. The record is from RNAcentral.